CUCAUAUCACAUCUCACCCAGUCAUAGUGACCUUGUUUCUGUCCCUUCUACAGAAGGCAGCUCCCUCAGGGAGCUUAUGUACUCCUUCUUUGUUCCCCAAUGUUGUUCCCCCAAUCCUAGUUUGUUUGUCUUUUCUCUCCAUUCAAAUGCCAGCUCAAAAGAAACUAAAGAGGCACCAGUUCAACCCAAUUGGACGGAGAGAGAUGUUAAACCACAUCCAAAAGGAACACCUCCCAGGAAGCUUUCCCUCAGAGUUCUCCAAAUAGUCCUCCCUCCAAUCUGCUCUCCGUCUGUUGGUGGGACUCACUCUGCCACCUGUGGAGGAUGUCUUUGAACGUGUUUUGAAAUGUGAUUUCCCUGCGGGAAGAAAUGAUACUUAUGGAAUUUGUGGACGACAGAGAACACUGAAGAUCAUCUACUGUUGGCUCCACACCCUGAAGCUCUCUGCGCCAUUUUCCAAGCAAGCGGUAGAUGGUUAAUUAUUUACUUGUUCCACGGACUCCUGAAGGACUUGGGCGAAGAGAGAAAUACAUUUCAGUGUUGUUUGCUCUAAGCACUGUAGUCUGAAAGUUUUGCACAGGUUUAUAACUGUAAUUCUAUUUUCUUAAAACAAACAAGCAAACAAACAUGUUAUUUCUUGCAGAAACAAGAUUUGCAGAGAAACACCCCAAAUUGGUAUGCAAGCCAGGUCUGAGGAAAAAGUAGGGCAGGCUGAGAUGCCACAGAAGGAACUGAACUAGCAUUAAUUUUUCUAUUUUCAUUCUUUCUGUUUCGGAGUUGAUGUUUGGACAGGACUGCGAAUACAAAAGACACAAGGGAUUCUGCAGUGAGAAGGCAAGAAAUGAGCACUGCACAAAUGCUGGCAGUCCAGAUUGAAGAUGCUCCCUAAUGUCUCUGUGCAUCCAUCCCCACCUGUACAAAUGAUGCAUUUUCCUAGCAAGGAGGACUUCAGGCACUCUGCACCUCAGCUUGCUUUGUGUUCUGACUACAUUAGAAGGUGAGAAGACAUUAAAUUUGCCUUAUGCAAUGCCACAUUUAACUGAAAUGAACAGUUUGCAAAAAGGAACAGCCACUUGCAUGAAGAUACAAUAGGCCACUGGAAGGAGCUGUCAGAUGAGGACUAGCCUUCAGCCUCCCAGAAUGCACUCCUCCCACGGAAGUACACCCCAGUCUACUGGAAGAUCAUCAAUUGAGCCUGGCCUAUUUUUCAUUUUGCCUCAUAAAACCAACCUUCCAGCCCUUCACUCAUGUUAAUUCUCUUUCAGCUCAUCUCUAAGGGUUCGACAUAGCAGAAGAGAAUGUAACGUUUCAAUAAAACAUAAAAUAAUCGGCUCAUUUAUUCAUCAAGA
Molecule: long non-coding RNA, 1349 nt
Organism: Rattus norvegicus (Norway rat)
Lineage: Eukaryota; Metazoa; Chordata; Mammalia; Rodentia; Muridae
Source: RefSeq, a predicted model, not a curated record